RNAcentral lists this ribosomal RNA (346 nucleotides) under uncultured eukaryote. RNAcentral describes it as "SSU rRNA". It matches the Rfam family "Eukaryotic small subunit ribosomal RNA", at positions 594 to 945 of the family's 1831-position model. The record is from RNAcentral.
AUAGCGUAUAUUAAAGUUGUUGCAGUUAAAAAGCUCGUAGUUGAACCUUGGGCCUGGCUGACCGGUCUGCCUCACCGUAUGCACUGGUUUGGUCGGGCCUUUCCUUCUGGGUAGCCACAUGCCCUUUAUUGGGUGUGUUGGGGAACCAGGACUUUUACUUUGAAAAAAUUAGAGUGUUCAAAGCAGGCAUUUGCUCGGAUACAUUAGCAUGGAAUAAUAGAAUAGGACGUGUGGUUCUAUUUUGUUGGUUUCUAGGACCACCGUAAUGAUUAAUAGGGAUAGUCGGGGGCAUCAGUAUUCAAUUGUCAGAGGUGAAAUUCUUGGAUUAAUUGAAGACUAACUACUG